GCUUCCUACGGGAGGCAGCAGUAGGGAAUCUUCCGCAAUGGACGAAAGUCUGACGGAGCAACGCCGCGUGAGCGAUGAAGGCCUUCGGGUCGUAAAGCUCUGUUGUUAGGGAAGAACAAGUAUCGGAGUAACUGCCGGUACCUUGACGGUACCUAACCAGAAAGCCACGGCUAACUACGUGCCAGCAGCCGCGGUAAUACGUAGGUGGCAAGCGUUGUCCGGAAUUAUUGGGCGUAAAGCGCGCGCAGGCGGUCCUUUAAGUCUGAUGUGAAAGCCCACGGCUCAACCGUGGAGGGUCAUUGGAAACUGGGGGACUUGAGUACAGAAGAGGAAAGCGGAAUUCCACGUGUAGCGGUGAAAUGCGUAGAGAUGUGGAGGAACACCAGUGGCGAAGGCGGCUUUCUGGUCUGUAACUGACGCUGAGGCGCGAAAGCGUGGGGAGCAAACAGGAUUAGAUACCCUGGUAGUCCACGCCGUAAACGAUGAGUGCUAAGUGUUAGAGGGUUUCCGCCCUUUAGUGCUGCAGCUAACGCAUUAAGCACUCCGCCUGGGGAGUACGGCCGCAAGGCUGAAACUCAAAGGAAUUGACGGAAGC
RNAcentral lists this ribosomal RNA (595 nucleotides) under uncultured bacterium. RNAcentral's name for it is "bacterial SSU rRNA". It matches the Rfam family "Bacterial small subunit ribosomal RNA", at positions 334 to 920 of the family's 1533-position model. The record is from RNAcentral.